RNAcentral lists this non-coding RNA (28 nucleotides) under Rattus norvegicus (Norway rat). Lineage: Eukaryota; Metazoa; Chordata; Mammalia; Rodentia; Muridae. The record is from RNAcentral.
CAACCUUCUCUUGAGGCUUUUAGCUUUA